CGCGGCCUAUCAGCUUGUUGGUGAGGUAGUGGCUUACCAAGGCGACGACGGGUAGCCGGCCUGAGAGGGCGACCGGCCACACUGGGACUGAGACACGGCCCAGACUCCUACGGGAGGCAGCAGUGGGGAAUAUUGCACAAUGGGCGCAAGCCUGAUGCAGCGACGCCGCGUGAGGGAUGACGGCCUUCGGGUUGUAAGCCUCUUUCAGCAGGGGAGAAGCCUUCGGGUGACGGUACCUGCAGAAGAAGCACCGGCUAACUACGUGCCAGCAGCCGCGGUAAUACGUAGGGUGCGAGCGUUGUCCGGAAUUAUUGGGCGUAAAGAGCUUGUAGGCGGUUUGUCGCGUCCGCUGUGAAAAUCCGGGGCUCAACCCCGGACUUGCAGUGGGUACGGGCAGACUAGAGUGUGGUAGGGGAGACUGGAAUUCCUGGUGUAGCGGUGGAAUGCGCAGAUAUCAGGAGGAACACCGAUGGCGAAGGCAGGUCUCUGGGCCAUUACUGACGCUGAGAAGCGAAAGCAUGGGGAGCAAACAGGAUUAGAUACCCUGGUAGUCCAUGCCGUAAACGUUGGGAACUAGGUGUGGGUCUCAUUCCACGAGAUCCGUGCCGCAGCUAACGCAUUAAGUUCCCCGCCUGGG
RNAcentral lists this ribosomal RNA (637 nucleotides) under uncultured bacterium. Its description in RNAcentral is "bacterial SSU rRNA". It matches the Rfam family "Bacterial small subunit ribosomal RNA", at positions 232 to 877 of the family's 1533-position model. The record is from RNAcentral.